This 124-nucleotide ribosomal RNA is filed under the name Chloroflexota bacterium. RNAcentral's name for it is "partial 16S ribosomal RNA". It matches the Rfam family "Bacterial small subunit ribosomal RNA", at positions 1 to 131 of the family's 1533-position model. The record is from RNAcentral. Lineage: Bacteria; Bacillati; Chloroflexota.
UGUUUGGAGAGUUUGAUCCUGGCUCAGGACAAACGCUGGCGGCGUGCUUAAUACAUGCAAGUCGAACGGUACUACUUCGGUAGUAUAGUGGCGGACGGGUGAGUAACACGUAGAUAACCUGCCC